Molecule: ribosomal RNA, 329 nt
Filed under: uncultured eukaryote
Lineage: Eukaryota
Description: partial 18S ribosomal RNA
Rfam family: Eukaryotic small subunit ribosomal RNA
Source: RNAcentral
CCCUUAGAUGUUCUGGGCCGCACGCGCGCUACAAUGAUGAAUUCAACGAGUUUAUAACCUUGGUUGAAAAGCCUGGGUAAUCUUUUGAACUUUCGUCGUGAUGGGGCUAGACCCUUGCAAUUAUUGGUCUCCAACGAGGAAUUCCAAGUAAACGCAAGUCAUCAGCUUGCAUUGAUUACGUCCCUGCCCUUUGUACACACCGCCCGUCGCACCUACCGAUUGAAUGGUCCGGUGAAAUCUUCGGAUUGAGACUUUGAUUUCUUCACGGAAAACGCUGUUUUAAAAAGUUGAUUAAACCUUACCAUUUAGAGGAAGGUGAAGUCGUAACA